UUGCCUGUAGCUCAGUGGACAGAGCAGCAUCCUUCUAAGAUGUCGGUCGCUGGUUCGAGUCCAGCCAGGUGAGCCA
This 76-nucleotide transfer RNA is filed under the name Citrobacter freundii. RNAcentral's name for it is "tRNA-Arg". It matches the Rfam family "tRNA". Rfam says of the family: Transfer RNA (tRNA) molecules are approximately 80 nucleotides in length. Their secondary structure includes four short double-helical elements and three loops (D, anti-codon, and T loops). RNAcentral also lists the same sequence under 4 other names. The record is from RNAcentral. Lineage: Bacteria; Pseudomonadati; Pseudomonadota; Gammaproteobacteria; Enterobacterales; Enterobacteriaceae.